UCAGCGACUUAUAUUCUGUAGCAAGGUUAACCGUAUAGGGGAGCCGGAGGGAAACCGAGUCUUAAUUGGGCGUUAAGUUGCAGGGUAUAGACCCGAAACCCGGUGAUCUAGCCAUGGGCAGGUUGAAGGUUGGGUAACACUAACUGGAGGACCGAACCGACUAAUGUUGAAAAAUUAGCGGAUGACCUGUGGCUGGGGGUGAAAGGCCAAUCAAACCGGGAGAUAGCUGGUUCUCCCCGAAAGCUAUUUAGGUAGCGCCUCGUGAAUUCAUCUCCGGGGGUAGAGCACUGUUUCGGCUAGGGGGCCAUCCCGGCUUACCAACCCGAUGCAAACUGCGAAUACCGGAGAAUGUUAUCACGGGAGACACACGGCGGGUGCUAACGUCCGUCGUGAAGAGGGAAACAACCCAGACCGCCAGCUAAGGUCCCAAAGUCAUGGUUAAGUGGGAAACGAUGUGGGAAGGCCCAGACAGCCAGGAUGUUGGCUUAGAAGCAGCCAUCAUUUAAAGAAAGCGUAAUAGCUCACUGGUCGAGUCGGCCUGCGCGGAAGAUGUAACGGGGCUAAACCAUGCACCGAAGCUGCGGCAGCGAACGUAUCACCCAAGACAACUUUACGGAGUUGACGAUUGACGGAGCGAAGCGACGUCAAAGCGUUCAUUAAAGUCGAGUUGGCUUAGGGAUACGUUCGUUGGGUAGGGGAGCGUUCUGUAAGCCUGUGAAGGUGUGUCGUGAGGCAUGCUGGAGGUAUCAGAAGUGCGAAUGCUGACAUAAGUAACGAUAAAGCGGGUGAAAAGCCCGCUCGCCGGAAGACCAAGGGUUCCUGUCCAACGUUAAUCGGGGCAGGGUGAGUCGACCCCUAAGGCGAGGCCGAAAGGCGUAGUCGAUGGGAAACGGGUUAAUAUUCCCGUACUUGGUGUUACUGCGAAGGGGGGACGGAGAAGGCUAUGUUGGCCGGGCGACGGUUGUCCCGGUUUAAGCGUGUAGGUGUGUGUUCCAGGUAAAUCCGGUUCACUUUAACACUGAGGCGUGACGACGAGGCACUACGGUGCUGAAGCAACAAAUGCCCUGCUUCCAGGAAAAGCCUCUAAGCAUCAGGUAACACGAAAUCGUACCCCAAACCGACACAGGUGGUCAGGUAGAGAAUACCAAGGCGCUUGAGAGAACUCGGGUGAAGGAACUAGGCAAAAUGGUGCCGUAACUUCGGGAGAAGGCACGCUGACACGUAGGUGAAGUGAUUUACUCAUGGAGCUGAAGUCAGUCGAAGAUACCAGCUGGCUGCAACUGUUUAUUAAAAACACAGCACUGUGCAAACACGAAAGUGGACGUAUACGGUGUGACGCCUGCCCGGUGCCGGAAGGUUAAUUGAUGGGGUCAGCGUAAGCGAAGCUCCUGAUCGAAGCCCCGGUAAACGGCGGCCGUAACUAUAACGGUCCUAAGGUAGCGAAAUUCCUUGUCGGGUAAGUUCCGACCUGCACGAAUGGCGUAAUGAUGGCCAGGCUGUCUCCACCCGAGACUCAGUGAAAUUGAACUCGCUGUGAAGAUGCAGUGUACCCGCGGCAAGACGGAAAGACCCCGUGAACCUUUACUAUAGCUUGACACUGAACAUUGAGCCUUGAUGUGUAGGAUAGGUGGGAGGCUUUGAAGUGUGGACGCCAGUCUGCAUGGAGCCGACCUUGAAAUACCACCCUUUAAUGUUUGAUGUUCUAACGUGGACCCGUAAUCCGGGUUGCGGACAGUGUCUGGUGGGUAGUUUGACUGGGGCGGUCUCCUCCUAAAGAGUAACGGAGGAGCACGAAGGUUGGCUAAUCCUGGUCGGACAUCAGGAGGUUAGUGCAAUGGCAUAAGCCAGCUUGACUGCGAGCGUGACGGCGCGAGCAGGUGCGAAAGCAGGUCAUAGUGAUCCGGUGGUUCUGAAUGGAAGGGCCAUCGCUCAACGGAUAAAAGGUACUCCGGGGAUAACAGGCUGAUACCGCCCAAGAGUUCAUAUCGACGGCGGUGUUUGGCACCUCGAUGUCGGCUCAUCACAUCCUGGGGCUGAAGUAGGUCCCAAGGGUAUGGCUGUUCGCCAUUUAAAGUGGUACGCGAGCUGGGUUUAGAACGUCGUGAGACAGUUCGGUCCCUAUCUGCCGUGGGCGCUGGAGAACUGAGGGGGGCUGCUCCUAGUACGAGAGGACCGGAGUGGACGCAUCACUGGUGUUCGGGUUGUCAUGCCAAUGGCACUGCCCGGUAGCUAAAUGCGGAAGAGAUAAGUGCUGAAAGCAUCUAAGCACGAAACUUGCCCCGAGAUGAGUUCUCCCUGAGACUUAGAGUCUCCUGAAGGAACGUUGAAGACGACGACGUUGAUAGGCCGGGUGUGUAAGCGCAGCGAUGCGUUGAGCUAACCGGUACUAAUGAACCGUGAGGCUUAACCUUACA
This 2414-nucleotide ribosomal RNA is filed under the name Salmonella enterica. RNAcentral's name for it is "partial 23S ribosomal RNA". It matches the Rfam family "Bacterial large subunit ribosomal RNA", at positions 620 to 2925 of the family's 2925-position model. Lineage: Bacteria; Pseudomonadati; Pseudomonadota; Gammaproteobacteria; Enterobacterales; Enterobacteriaceae. The record is from RNAcentral.